GACCGCGACCCCAGGUCAGGCGGGACUACCCGCUUGAGUUAAGC
RNAcentral lists this ribosomal RNA (44 nucleotides) under Veronica orientalis. Its description in RNAcentral is "partial 26S ribosomal RNA". Lineage: Eukaryota; Viridiplantae; Streptophyta; Magnoliopsida; Lamiales; Plantaginaceae. The record is from RNAcentral.